AUGUGUGGCGGCGCGAUCAUCUCCGACUUCAUCCCGGAGCGCGACCACCGCGGCGGGAGCAAGCGGAGCCUCUGCACCGCCGACUUCUGGCCAAAUGCGGCCGGCGCCGGCGCCGCGUUCGACGACCCUACCGGCCACCACGACUUCUACCCAGCCGACCUGACCGGCGCCGGCGCCUUCACGCCUGAGCACCAAGCGGAGGAGGAGCCGAGCAGGAAGCGGGAGCGCAAGACGAUGUACCGCGGCAUCCGGCGGCGGCCGUGGGGCAAGUGGGCGGCGGAGAUCCGCGACCCGGCCAAGGGGGCGCGCGUCUGGCUCGGCACCUUCGCCACCCCCGAGGGCGCCGCGCGCGCCUACGACCGCGCCGCCCGCCGCAUCCGCGGGACCAAGGCCAAGGUCAACUUCCCCAACGAGGACCCGCCCCUCGACCUCGACGACUACGACGUCGCCAACGUGGCCGGCUUCAUCCACCAGCCGUCGUACAUGGCGCCAGAGGUGGCGUACGCGCACCAGCUGCCGCAGCAGGACGAGCCCGGGAUGGAGCUCUGGAACUUUGGCAACAUCAACGCUCAAGUGCCUAUGUGA
This 585-nucleotide ribosomal RNA is filed under the name Triticum aestivum (bread wheat). RNAcentral's name for it is "partial small subunit ribosomal RNA". Lineage: Eukaryota; Viridiplantae; Streptophyta; Magnoliopsida; Poales; Poaceae. The record is from RNAcentral.